UGGCUCAGUGGUAGAGUGCUUGCCUUGCAUGCAUGAGGCCCUGGGUUCAAUUUCCCAG
RNAcentral lists this transfer RNA (58 nucleotides) under Dipodomys ordii (Ord's kangaroo rat). It matches the Rfam family "tRNA", at positions 8 to 63 of the family's 71-position model. Rfam says of the family: Transfer RNA (tRNA) molecules are approximately 80 nucleotides in length. Their secondary structure includes four short double-helical elements and three loops (D, anti-codon, and T loops). Further hydrogen bonds mediate the characteristic L-shaped molecular structure. tRNAs have two regions of fundamental functional importance: the anti-codon, which is responsible for specific mRNA codon recognition, and the 3' end, to which the tRNAs corresponding amino acid is attached (by aminoacyl-tRNA synthetases). tRNAs cope with the degeneracy of the genetic code in two manners: having more than one tRNA (with a specific anti-codon) for a particular amino acid; and 'wobble' base-pairing, i.e. permitting non-standard base-pairing at the 3rd anti-codon position. The record is from Rfam by way of RNAcentral. Lineage: Eukaryota; Metazoa; Chordata; Mammalia; Rodentia; Heteromyidae.